AGUACAGACGAGUUUGAUCAUGGCUCAGAACGAACGCUGGCGGCAGGCCUAACACAUGCAAGUCGAGCGAACCCUUCGGGGUUAGCGGCGGACGGGUUAGUAACGCGUGGGAAUAUACCCUUUGGUACGGAAUAGCCUCGGGAAACUGAGAGUAAUACCGUAUGUGCCCUUCGGGGAAAGAUUUAUCGCCAAAGGAUUAGCCCGCGUUGGAUUAGAUAGUUGGUGGGGUAAUGGCCUACCAAGUCUACGAUCCAUAGCUGGUUUGAGAGGAUGAUCAGCAACACUGGGACUGAGACACGGCCCAGACUCCUACGGGAGGCAGCAGUGGGGAAUCUUAGACAAUGGGCGCAAGCCUGAUCUAGCCAUGCCGCGUGGACGACGAAGGCCUUAGGGUUGUAAAGUCCUUUCAGAUGGGAAGAUAAUGACGGUACCAUCAGAAGAAGCCCCGGCUAACUCCGUG
Molecule: ribosomal RNA, 460 nt
Filed under: uncultured bacterium
Lineage: Bacteria
Description: bacterial SSU rRNA
Rfam family: Bacterial small subunit ribosomal RNA
Source: RNAcentral